RNAcentral lists this long non-coding RNA (2534 nucleotides) under Ananas comosus (pineapple). RNAcentral's name for it is "long non-coding RNA (ACOM_LNC003283)". The record is from RNAcentral. Lineage: Eukaryota; Viridiplantae; Streptophyta; Magnoliopsida; Poales; Bromeliaceae.
AUCGAGUGAGUGCUCAAAGGCUCGACUUCGUGUGUGCAAACGCAGUUGAGGUUUACGCUUCAUUGUAUCCUGGGAGGUUGUUCGUUGACCCGGUGCACACCAAAUUGUUAGAACGGUGGGGACGGAUUAAGCCUUAAGGAAAGUGGCAUUGCUACACGCCUUGAAGCCUUUUUAAUCUUUCUAUUUCAUACCUUUAUCACAAUCUGUUCCAACAGUUCCCCAGAACAGAGAAUAUUCCGGUACAAAAUAGAACAAUUGUAAAUUUGUGUUUGGAUGCAUUCGAGGAUAUUUUAGAGGAUAUCCUUAGUAGAAUUUGGAUAAAAAGUUCAGAACAACGUCUAAAUAUAUUUUUAAAAAUAAAAUAAUUAAUUUAUAUUAGUAUAUUUUAUAUAAAAUUAUUUAUAAAAUUAUUUCAUAUAGUAAUUUAUAAUAUAAUAUUUUAUGUAACAAUCUAAUUUAAAAUAUUAUAUUUUAUUUUAUUAUAUAUAACAAUUUAUUUUAUGUAAAAAUUUAUUUUAUAUAAUUUAUUCAUAAUUUAUUAAUGAAUAAAGUAUAAUACUAGCAAUAUCCUUAUAAUUUUAAUUAAUAAUUAGUAUAAAUUUCAAUACAAAUUAAAAAAUAUAUAUAUAUAUAUAAUAUAUGAAAAAAUGAUUUUUUUAUGUAUAUAAUACUUAAUAUAAAAUAAAAUAAUUAAAUGUUAAUAUAUAAAUGAUAAAACUUAAUAAAAUAACAAAUAUAUCAAAUUUAAUUAAUUUAUAUUGUAUAAUAAAAUUUAAGUAUAAAUAUAUUAUCCAAAAAAUAAUAUUUAUAUUAAUAUAUUUAUUUAUUAAAUUUGAGCAUUCAUUUAAUUUAUUUGAAAUUAAUUAAAAUAAAGUAUAAAAAAAUAAAAGGGCAUAAUAGGAAAAAAAAAAAAAAAAAAAGUGGUAAAAUUUGUUGUUCCAGCUUGUUCUCCAUGGAAGGGAGAACAAACUUAACGGGUUGUUCCCGGAACAACCCGUUAAGUCCGGAACAACCACCUUGUUUCAUUUUGCAUUGUGUUUCGGGGGGUAAAGAGGGAUAUCACGCAUUGUUCUGGGAUAUCCCUCCAACCAAACGCAGCCAUAAUGAGUAUAAAACCUCUUGUACUCAUAAAUUUUUAAUCGUUGAUUGAUGGGAUGUGUGAUUAUGAUGAUGGCGGUCUCCACUUAGAAUGAUAGUGGUCCCAAAGGGUUGAGUAGGUAGUUGGUUGAAUAGUAUGAUCUAACGGGUGGAAAUGAUCAUGGAAUAAAUCUAAGGGCCGAAAAGUUAUGAGUAUAAGGGAGCCAAUACUCAUAAAAGUAUAGUAGCCGGACUAUAUAUAUAUAUAUAUAGAACUAGGCUGGAAUACUAUUAACAGCACCGAUGACUUGGUGCUAUUAAGUUUUCUGCCGUUGGAUUAAAAGAUGUGCGGUUAGGAUAAUGUGGGGCCUCUGGGGUUGAGUGGGUGGUUAGUUGAAUAGUACAAUCGAACGGAUGAAAAUGAUAAAAAAGGUAAAUCUAACGGCAGAAAACUUGAUAGCACCAAAUACUUCGUGCUAUUGAUAGUAUCCCAGCCGGACUCUAUAUAUAUAUAUAUAGAGUUUGACUGGGCUACUAUCGGCAGUAAACUGCUCGGUUUACUACCGAUUUGUUUUUGAUGAUAGAGCUUCCAAAUCGACGAUCGAUACCGUUGAACAUGAUUUAGACCAUUUAAAUUAUCUAAAAAUCAAAUUUCAUGAUUUUUUGGCAUCAUUAACUGAACGAUCAAAGGGUCACAAAAUCUAUAAUUUUAAUGGCCAAUAUGGUGCGUUUGCUCGUUUAACGGUAUAGAAGAGUUCAAAUCAACUAAAUUUUUGUUAAAAGAUUCUUUAAACUAUUUAAAAUAAGAUCUAGACUCUAGAUCUCAAAUAUAAAAAUUAUAUCAUCACUUUUUGAAGGAUAUUCAUUUCCAGCCAUUCAUUUUUCUGUUCACUUGAUGGACAAGAGAANGAAAGAGAGAGUUGGACUGGGCUACUAUUAGUACCAAAAUUCCAUUGUUGCUACCCAUUUUUUAGCCUUUGGAUCAACUCUUUUCAUCAUUUCUAACCAUUGGAAUAAAUAUUAUAACCCAGUGGGGACCACUCAACUCUAACUGACUAAUAUUUUCCUAACCCUACAAUUUUUCAUCCAAGAGUUUAAAAACUUGAUAGCAAAAAGAGCGUUUUACUACUAAUAGUAUUCCAGCCUAAUUAUAUAUAUAUAUAUAUGUAUGUAUAUAUAGGUCAUUGGUGCUAUUAAGUUUUCUGCCGUUGAAUUAAAAGAUGUGCGGUUCGGAUGAUGUGGGGCCUCUAGGGUUGAGUGGGUGGUUAGUUGAAUAGUACAAUCGAACGGAUGAAAAUGAUAAUAAAGGUAAAUCUAAUGGCAGAAAACUUGAUAGCACCAAAUGCUUCGUGCUAUUGAUAGUAUCCCAACCGGACUCUAUAUAUAUAUACAUAUAUGUAUACAUAUAUACAUAUAUGUAUAUAUGUAUACAUAUAUGUAUACAUAUAUGUAUAUAU